Molecule: transfer RNA, 72 nt
Filed under: Candidatus Zhuqueibacterota bacterium
Lineage: Bacteria; Pseudomonadati
Description: candidate division KSB1 bacterium (microbial mat metagenome) tRNA-Ile
Rfam family: tRNA
About the family: Transfer RNA (tRNA) molecules are approximately 80 nucleotides in length.
Source: RNAcentral
GGGCCCGUAGCUCAAGGGUAGAGCAACGGACUCAUAAUCCGCAGGUUGUAGGUUCGAAUCCUACCGGGCCCA